GUGCAGCAGUCGAGAAUUUUUCUCAAUGGGGGCAACCCUGAAGGAGCGACGCCGCGUGGAGGAUGAAGGCUUUCGGGUUGUAAACUCCUGUCAUUUGGGAACAAGUUGGACGCAGUAACUACGCGUCCAUUGAUAGUACCAGAAGAGGAAGGGACGGCUAACUCUGUGCCAGCAGCCGCGGUAAUACAGAGGUCCCAAGCGUUGUUCGGAUUCAUUGGGCGUAAAGGGUGCGUAGGUGGCGCCGUAAGUGGGGUGUGAAAUUUCGGAGCUUAACUCCGAAACUGCAUUCCAUACUGCGGUGCUCGAGGACUGGAGAGGAGACUGGAAUUCAUGGUGUAGCAGUGAAAUGCGUAGAGAUCAUGAAGAAGACCAGUGGCGAAGGCGGGUCUCUGGACAGUUCCUGACACUGAGGCACGAAGGCCAGGGGAGCAAACGGGAUUAGAUACCCGCGUAGU
This 455-nucleotide ribosomal RNA is filed under the name uncultured organism. RNAcentral's name for it is "bacterial SSU rRNA". It matches the Rfam family "Bacterial small subunit ribosomal RNA", at positions 346 to 794 of the family's 1533-position model. The record is from RNAcentral.